UACGUAGGGUGCAGGCGUUAAUCGGAAUUACUGGGCGUAAAGCGUGCGCAGGCGGCUCCUUAAGUCAGAUGUGAAAGCCCCGGGCUUAACCUGGGAACUGCAUUCCAAACUGCCGAGCUAGAGUGUGGUAGAGGGAGGUAGAAUUUCCUGUGUAGCGGUGAAAUGCGUAGAUAUCAGGAGGAAUACCGAUGGCGAAGGCAGGUCUCUGGGCUGACACUGACGCUCAUGCACGAAAGCGUGGGGAGCAAACAGG
This 253-nucleotide ribosomal RNA is filed under the name uncultured bacterium. RNAcentral describes it as "partial 16S ribosomal RNA". It matches the Rfam family "Bacterial small subunit ribosomal RNA", at positions 524 to 776 of the family's 1533-position model. The record is from RNAcentral.